This 244-nucleotide ribosomal RNA is filed under the name uncultured bacterium. RNAcentral's name for it is "partial 16S ribosomal RNA". It matches the Rfam family "Bacterial small subunit ribosomal RNA", at positions 89 to 334 of the family's 1533-position model. The record is from RNAcentral.
UGGCGACCGGCGCACGGGUGAGUAACACGUAUCCAACCUGCCGAUAACUCGGGGAUAGCCUUUCGAAAGAAAGAUUAAUACCCGAUGGCAUAAUUAGACCGCAUGGUCUUAUUAUUAAAGAAUUUCGGUUAUCGAUGGGGAUGCGUUCCAUUAGGCAGUUGGUGAGGUAACGGCUCACCAAACCUUCGAUGGAUAGGGGUUCUGAGAGGAAGGUCCCCCACACUGGAACUGAGACACGGUCCAA